CCUACGGGUGGCAGCAGUAGGGAAUUUUCGGCAAUGGGGGGAACCCUGACCGAGCAACGCCGCGUGAAGGAAGAAGGAAUUCGUUCUGUAAACUUCUGUUAUAAAGGAAGAAAGACGGAUGGAGGAAAUGACAUCCGAGUGACGGUACUUUAUGAGAAAGCCACGGCUAACUACGUGCCAGCAGCCGCGGUAAUACGUAGGUGGCAAGCGUUAUCCGGAAUUAUUGGGCGUAAAGAGGGAGCAGGCGGCAGCAAAGGUCUGUGGUGAAAGACUGAAGCUUAACUUCAGUAAGCCAUAGAAAACGGGCAGCUAGAGUGCAGGAGAGGAUCGUGGAAUUCCAUGUGUAGCGGUAAAAUGCGUAGAUAUAUGGAAGAACACCAGUGGCGAAGGCGGCCGCCUGGCCUGUUGCUGACGCUGAGGCACGAAAGCGUGGGGAGCAAAUAGGAUUAGAUACCCUUGUAGUC
Molecule: ribosomal RNA, 464 nt
Filed under: uncultured bacterium
Lineage: Bacteria
Description: partial 16S ribosomal RNA
Rfam family: Bacterial small subunit ribosomal RNA
Source: RNAcentral